RNAcentral lists this ribosomal RNA (425 nucleotides) under uncultured bacterium. Its description in RNAcentral is "partial 16S ribosomal RNA". It matches the Rfam family "Bacterial small subunit ribosomal RNA", at positions 354 to 796 of the family's 1533-position model. The record is from RNAcentral.
GUUAGGAAUAUUGGACAAUGGGCGAAAGCCUGAUCCAGCCAUGCCGCGUGAACGAUGAAGGCCUUCGGGUUGUAAAGUUCUUUAGCCGAUGAUUAUAAUGACUGUAGUCGGAAAAUAAGCCCCGGCUAACUUCGUGCCAGCAGCCGCGGUAAUACGAAGGGGGCGAGCGUUAUUCGGAAUCACUGGGCGUAAAGAGUGCGUAGGCGGUUUUGUAAGUUAGGAGUGAAAGCCCAGGGCUCAACCUUGGAAUUGCUCUUAAAACUACAAGGCUCGAAUCUCGGAGAGGAUAGCGGAAUUUCCAGUGGAGCAGUGAAAUGCGUAGAUAUUGGAAGGAACACCAGUGGCGUAAGCGGCUAUCUGGACAGAUAUUGACGCUGAGGCACGAAAGCGUGGGGAGCAAACAGGAUUAGAAACCCUUGUAGUCC